CCUUUUAUUUGUUAUGUUAUUAUUAGCAAGUCGAGCGAGCAGAACCAGCAGAUUUACUUCGGUAAUGACGCUGGGGACGCGAGCGGCGGAUGGGUGAGUAACACGUGGGGAACCUGCCCCAUAGUCUGGGAUACCACUUGGAAACAGGUGCUAAUACCGGAUAAGAAAGCAGAUCGCAUGAUCAGCUUAUAAAAGGCGGCGUAAGCUGUCGCUAUGGGAUGGCCCCGCGGUGCAUUAGCUAGUUGGUAAGGUAACGGCUUACCAAGGCAAUGAUGCAUAGCCGAGUUGAGAGACUGAUCGGCCACAUU
Molecule: ribosomal RNA, 308 nt
Filed under: uncultured Lactobacillus sp.
Lineage: Bacteria; Bacillati; Bacillota; Bacilli; Lactobacillales; Lactobacillaceae
Description: bacterial SSU rRNA
Rfam family: Bacterial small subunit ribosomal RNA
Source: RNAcentral